RNAcentral lists this transfer RNA (74 nucleotides) under Merluccius polli (Benguela hake). RNAcentral's name for it is "tRNA-Arg". It matches the Rfam family "tRNA". Rfam says of the family: Transfer RNA (tRNA) molecules are approximately 80 nucleotides in length. Their secondary structure includes four short double-helical elements and three loops (D, anti-codon, and T loops). Lineage: Eukaryota; Metazoa; Chordata; Actinopteri; Gadiformes; Merlucciidae. The record is from RNAcentral.
GCCCCAGUGGCCCUAAUGGAUAAGGCACUGGCCUCCUAAGCCAGGGAUUGUGGUUCGAGUCCCGUCUGGGGUGA